CCUAAUGAAAUCCCUGCUCAUUUUGCAUUCCGGAUUUGUCCAACGAGGUGCUGAAUAUCAGCAGGUAAUGGAGGAUGGAAAGAAUACUGUUGAGCAACGAGAAGCAAGUGAGAUUAAGGCUGAAAAUACUGAUUCUACAAGAACUGCUUGUUCAUGGGAAUACUGCUGCUACUUGCCAGAAAACCUAAAGAAGAAAAAUAAUGAAAAGGUGAAGCAAUUUCUCUGAAUUCACAGUAAAUCAGCAGACUAACGGAUCAAAGUCAGAUUAAUAGACCAAGGACAAACACAACUGCAGGGAUCGGCCUCUUCUCCCAGCAUAGGAGAAUUUCAAAGAGGAACCUGACAGAUGUUUGCUCCUGCUGGGCUGAGCUGUGAUGCUGGAGAUUUCAAGAAGGUGCUCCACGGCAAUUGAGCGACCUUCUCAU
Long non-coding RNA from Centrocercus urophasianus (Greater sage-grouse), 425 nucleotides. RefSeq lists it as uncharacterized. The transcript has 4 exons. NCBI's taxonomy places the organism in Eukaryota, Metazoa, Chordata, Aves, Galliformes, Phasianidae. The record is from RefSeq and is a predicted model, not a curated record.